ACUUUUAGUAGAGACGGGGUUUCACCGUGUUAGCCAGGAUUGUCUGGAUCUCCUGACCUCGUAAUCCACCCACCUGGCCUCCCAAAGUGCUAGGAUUACAGGUGUGAGCCACGGCGCCCUGAGGACUGGCAGACCCAUCUGACUUUCUUGGAGUAGAGGAGGAAGAGGAGGAAGAAGAGGUGCAGGAGGAAGACCAGGGUGUGGCUGACAUCUAGCUGGAUGCAGUGGAUGAUUCUGGAGGACCUCUUGCCCUUCUCCUUCAUGACCUGUAGGGCAGGGCCAAGAGGAGGAAGCAGCCUCAGAACAGACAAAAGACUCCCUGCCCCAAACGGCAGUCAUCCCACAGUCAGCACUUCUGGAAGGAAGGAAGGAAGGUUUCCUUCUGCAGAAAGCUCCUUUUUACCUUGUUUCUGACACCAGGGAGGGUCAGCAGAGCCCAGCGCACCUGUGGUGCCUGAGUUACCAUCUAUGCCCAGGAUGUGCG
This 484-nucleotide long non-coding RNA is filed under the name Homo sapiens (human). Its description in RNAcentral is "non-protein coding lnc-TRIM16-2:5". Lineage: Eukaryota; Metazoa; Chordata; Mammalia; Primates; Hominidae. The record is from RNAcentral.